AUAGAGACUCAGAGCUGCAUAUCAAUAAGCGGAGGAAAAGAAACUAACAAGGAUUCCCCUAGUAACGGCGAGUGAAGCGGGAAGAGCUCAAAUUUGAAAUCUUAAAGGUUUUCCCUUGACGAAUUGUAGUUUAAAGAAGUGUUUUCUGUUGAAGUUUUGGUAAAAGUUCUUUGGAAUAGGACAUCAUAGAGGGUGAGAAUCCCGUAUUUGGUCAUUCCUCCUAGCGUUGUGAUACACUUUCAACGAGUCGGAUUGUUUGGGAAUGCAGUCCCAAAAUGGGUGGUAAAUUUCAUCUAAAGCUAAAUAUUGGCGAGAGACCGAUAGCGAACAAGUACCGUGAGGGAAAGAUGAAAAGAACUUUGAAAAGAGAGUUAAACAGUACGUGAAAUUGUCAAAAGGGGAAGCGUUUGACACCAGUGUUGUUUUUCCGAAAAUCAAUUAAAAAUUGAUUCAUGCCAGGUUGUAUUGACCUUAUCAGCUUGCAAUUUGGUUUUGGGUCUCUUUUUGAUGCACUUUUCGGUUAACAAGUCAACAUCAAUUUCCUUUGCUGUAAAAAGGUAAGAGGAAGGUGGCUUCAAUUUCGGUUGAAGUGUUUAUAGCCUUUUAUCUCUGCAGUCGGGGAGAUUGAGGUCUGCAGCGUAGAUCCUUCGGGGCUAGAUACAUUUAUGCUAAGUUAUAGCUUUUCAUAGACAACUUGUUGACUAUGUUUAGUCAUGUAGCUUACUCGUAAGUGCUAUUUUACCUACGCUUAGGAUGUUGAACUCUAUCACACACA
This 775-nucleotide ribosomal RNA is filed under the name uncultured Neocallimastigales. RNAcentral describes it as "partial large subunit ribosomal RNA". It matches the Rfam family "Eukaryotic large subunit ribosomal RNA", at positions 23 to 647 of the family's 3401-position model. Lineage: Eukaryota; Fungi; Neocallimastigomycota; Neocallimastigomycetes; Neocallimastigales. The record is from RNAcentral.